AGACAGGGUCUGGAAUUCCUGUGCUCAAGAGAUCCUCCCACCUCAACCUCCCAUGUAGCUGGGAUUACAUUUGCGUGCCACCAUACCUGGCUGAUGCCAAUUUUGAAGGAAGUUUCCCUUGGCCUGGACCUGAACCUGCAAUAUCUCCAAGAGAUGUCUGUAAUUGAAGUGACAGUAAGAAGAGGGAAGGAAUGCCACUUUCCUGUGUUGAGCUUGUUCUUAUAGGGUCUCUUGUUCUUGUACAAAGCUGUGAGUCUAACCCAUGCUGCACUGAGGCAGGAUAGUAUAGUGAGAUGGAGACUCACAGAUCUGGGUUCAAAUUCUGGUUUUGCUACAUAUAUAUCUGCAUGGGUUGGGGCAAAUCACUUAAACUCUCCAAGGCUGAUUCCCUGCAGGCUCCCACCCCUACCUCUUAUAGAAUGAAAAAGUGACACCAACCACCUAAGAAGCUUGGAGUAGUCAGUAAAUGAGAUUGUAGAUGUAUGCAUGUGCGUUUGUGCAUGUUUGUAUUUAUAUAAGUGCUUAGUAUAGUGCCUGGCACAAAGCUCAAUAAACAGUAGCUAUUGUUACUGAAUAUAAUCAAGUGUUUCUUAAUUUUCACAUGUUAUAUGGACUUUUAGAUUAAUUCCACUGUCAUCAGAGAACAUAUUGCAGAUAGUUUGACAAGUGCUGAAACAAGGGAAAUACAGGUUAAUAUGGGUGGAAAUAACAGGAACACCUGACAUUUAGGCAGGCUGCCUGCAGAAUGAUUGUAAGCAUAAAACUGAAGGAUAAGUGGGAUAUUCUGCCAGAGAAG
RNAcentral lists this long non-coding RNA (796 nucleotides) under Homo sapiens (human). RNAcentral's name for it is "HSALNT0007130". Lineage: Eukaryota; Metazoa; Chordata; Mammalia; Primates; Hominidae. The record is from RNAcentral.